Molecule: ribosomal RNA, 305 nt
Filed under: uncultured bacterium
Lineage: Bacteria
Description: bacterial SSU rRNA
Rfam family: Bacterial small subunit ribosomal RNA
Source: RNAcentral
UCCUACGGGAGGCAGCAGCCGCGGUAAUACGGAGGAUGCGAGCGUUAUCCGGAUUUAUUGGGUUUAAAGGGUGCGUAGGCGGUCCGUUAAGUCAGCGGUAAAAUUGCGGGGCUCAACCCCGUCGAGCCGUUGAAACUGGCAGACUUGAGUUGGCGAGAAGUACGCGGAAUGCGCGGUGUAGCGAUGAAAUGCAUAGAUAUCGCGCAGAACUCCGAUUGCGAAGGCAGCGUACCGGCGCCAGACUGACGCUGAGGCACGAAAGCGUGGGGAUCGAACAGGAUUAGAAACCCGAGUAGUCCGAGAUC